This is a long non-coding RNA of Halichondria panicea, 591 nucleotides long. RefSeq lists it as uncharacterized. The transcript is spliced from 2 exons. NCBI's taxonomy places the organism in Eukaryota, Metazoa, Porifera, Demospongiae, Suberitida, Halichondriidae. The record is from RefSeq and is a predicted model, not a curated record.
GUGGGAAAGUAGUUAAUAUAGUAGGCUUAUAGGUUUAUACCGAUUGAGCUACUGUAUAAUUAUAAUAAACAUGAUCUUUUGUUUACAAUCAGGCUACGGUAUAUAGUUAUAUCUAUGUGUACUGUUGUGUGCUGCACUUGCAGAGUUCAAAAAUGGCCUACUCUCCUCUCAUUCUAUUGGUUCUCCCCACUAUACCCACACAAUGCGGGAUGGAUCACCCCCUCUGACUAAUACUAAUGGUGUUUCCCAUGGCAACCACAUGCGGCAUCCUCUAUAGAGGUCCACGGCCAAGCACAAGUGGCACACCAGCCACAACCAGUGCAUGGACCAUGCAUGCUGAUGAACUAGAUACUGACCUAACACUCCUGGACAAUGAGUGGCUCGACAGUUUGGCAAAUGAUCUCGGGCCACCGCAAGAACUACUAUCUAUAUUAGAUGACUCAAGGGGUCCUAGUUAAUUGCUAACUCUCUUCUUCAUGAUUGUUUAUUUUCUGUAACAUUUUCAUCUGCUUCUAACAGACUCCACACACAUAAUUAUACUUAUCAUCACUGAAAUAAUUAUGUCAAAUCUUAUGUACUCUUAUUAGUAAU